AUGUUUGCCUAUGCCAAGCUCGCCUGCACCCCCGCUCUGAAGUUCUAUCUUAAACAGCGUAGAGUUGCAUACAGACCUGGAGAGGGCUCUGUGGUAUUUAAUGGGGCCCAGAAUGGUGUGUCUCAGCUAAACCAAAGAGUUUCAAACCAGGGCAAUCAGCAGAGACAUUGAGACUGGUGUGAAAUGUAACGGUGCAGGCACUGCAACAUUAGGAGUGGCUGGUUCUGCUGCUGGUAUUGGAACAGUCUUUGGUAGCCUUAUCAUUGGUUAUGCCAGAAACCCUGCACUAAAGUAGCAGCUGUUCUCAUAUGCUGUCCUGGGAUUUGCCUUGUCCAGACUUACGGGUCUCUUUUGUUUGAUGGUUGCUUUCUUGAUUUUGUUUGCCAUGUGA
This 391-nucleotide long non-coding RNA is filed under the name Homo sapiens (human). Its description in RNAcentral is "non-protein coding lnc-TXNDC5-4:1". The record is from RNAcentral. Lineage: Eukaryota; Metazoa; Chordata; Mammalia; Primates; Hominidae.